UGGGGAAUAUUGGACAAUGGGGGGAACCCUGAUCCAGCCAUGCCGCGUGUGUGAAGAAGGCCUUAUGGUUGUAAAGCACUUUAAGCGAGGAGGAGGGUACUGGUAUUAAUACUACCAGCUACUGGACGUUACUCGCAGAAUAAGCACCGGCUAACUCUGUGCCAGCAGCCGCGGUAAUACAGAGGGUGCGAGCGUUAAUCGGAUUUACUGGGCGUAAAGCGUGCGUAGGCGGCUAAUUGAGUCGGAUGUGAAAUCCCCGAGCUUAACUUGGGAAUUGCAUUCGAUACUGGUCAGCUAGAGUAUGGGAGAGGAUGGUAGAAUUCCAGGUGUAGCGGUAAAAUGCGUAGAGAUCUGGAGGAAUACCGAUGGCGAAGGCAGCCAUCUGGCCUAAUACUGACGCUGAGGUACGAAAGCAUGGGGAGCAAACAGG
RNAcentral lists this ribosomal RNA (430 nucleotides) under Pseudomonadota bacterium. Its description in RNAcentral is "Proteobacteria bacterium partial 16S ribosomal RNA". It matches the Rfam family "Bacterial small subunit ribosomal RNA", at positions 355 to 776 of the family's 1533-position model. Lineage: Bacteria; Pseudomonadati; Pseudomonadota. The record is from RNAcentral.